Molecule: ribosomal RNA, 561 nt
Filed under: uncultured bacterium
Lineage: Bacteria
Description: bacterial SSU rRNA
Rfam family: Bacterial small subunit ribosomal RNA
Source: RNAcentral
CCUACGGGAGGCAGCAGUGGGGAAUAUUGGACAAUGGGCGAAAGCCUGAUCCAGCAAUGCCGCGUGGGUGAAGAAGGUCUUCGGAUCGUAAAGCCCUUUCGACGGGGACGAUGAUGACGGUACCCGUAGAAGAAGCCCCGGCUAACUUCGUGCCAGCAGCCGCGGUAAUACGAAGGGGGCUAGCGUUGCUCGGAAUUACUGGGCGUAAAGGGCGCGUAGGCGGCGGCCCAAGUCAGGCGUGAAAUUCCUGGGCUCAACCUGGGGACUGCGCUUGAUACUGGGUUGCUUGAGGAUGGAAGAGGCUCGUGGAAUUCCCAGUGUAGAGGUGAAAUUCGUAGAUAUUGGGAAGAACACCGGUGGCGAAGGCGGCGAGCUGGUCCAUUACUGACGCUGAGGCGCGACAGCGUGGGGAGCAAACAGGAUUAGAUACCCUGGUAGUCCACGCCGUAAACGAUGUGCGCUGGAUGUUGGGGCCCAUAGGGUCUCAGUGUCGUAGCCAACGCGGUAAGCGCACCGCCUGGGGAGUACGGCCGCAAGGUUGAAACUCAAAUGAAUUGACGG